AGGAGUAUAUUUAAUAAUAAUAUUUAAAUUGCACUUAAAAGGUAUUGACAAGUCAAUUACUCUU
Molecule: transfer RNA, 64 nt
Filed under: Psathyromyia aragaoi
Lineage: Eukaryota; Metazoa; Arthropoda; Insecta; Diptera; Psychodidae
Description: tRNA-Ala
Source: RNAcentral